This 69-nucleotide transfer RNA is filed under the name Marmota marmota marmota (Alpine marmot). It matches the Rfam family "tRNA". Rfam says of the family: Transfer RNA (tRNA) molecules are approximately 80 nucleotides in length. Their secondary structure includes four short double-helical elements and three loops (D, anti-codon, and T loops). RNAcentral also lists the same sequence under 1 other name. Lineage: Eukaryota; Metazoa; Chordata; Mammalia; Rodentia; Sciuridae. The record is from Rfam by way of RNAcentral.
GGGGAUAUGGCUCAUUGGUACAGCACUUGCCUAACAUGCAAGAGGCCCUGGGUUCAAUCCCAAGCGCCA